Agrilus planipennis (emerald ash borer) is the source of this 106-nucleotide non-coding RNA. Lineage: Eukaryota; Metazoa; Arthropoda; Insecta; Coleoptera; Buprestidae. The record is from Rfam.
AGGUAGAGGGAUUUUAGCCGGUAGGUCCGAGGACACCUUCCUCGGGAAUCCGACACUACCCAGUCGUACGGACGGCUGGGUGUCUUUUGAAGAUUUCCCUUCUCCC